Molecule: ribosomal RNA, 253 nt
Filed under: uncultured bacterium
Lineage: Bacteria
Description: partial 16S ribosomal RNA
Rfam family: Bacterial small subunit ribosomal RNA
Source: RNAcentral
UACGUAGGGUGCAAGCGUUACUCGGAUUUAUUGGGCGUAAAGCGCAUGUAGGUGGUUUUAUAAGUCUGAUGUGAAAGCCCUGGACUCAAUUCAGGAACUGCAUUGGAUACUGUAAGACUAGAGUAUGGGAGAGGUAGGCGGAAUUCUUGGUGUAGAGGUGAAAUUCGUAGAUAUCAAGAGGAACAACAGAAGCGAAGGCGGCUUACUGGACCAUAACUGACACUGAGAUGCGACAGUGUGGGGAGCAAACAGG